Molecule: long non-coding RNA, 248 nt
Organism: Trachymyrmex septentrionalis
Lineage: Eukaryota; Metazoa; Arthropoda; Insecta; Hymenoptera; Formicidae
Exons: 3
Source: RefSeq, a predicted model, not a curated record
CACAAGUCACGGUAAUGUCAAAAUAACGUUAAAAUGAAUCGUAAAUAUUUUGGAGUAAUUAAAGGUUCACAAUACCUCAUGGGCUGACUGAAGGACGCAGCAGUAUUUGAAGUACCAGCCCUCGAGAAUGCGACGGGACAACAAUAUAUCUUCGGUUAUUUGAUACAACAUAAUACCGAUCCUAAAAGUUCCAGGUACGCACAUCAGCCAAGCACGUUUCUUCGAGUUCCACCCUGCGGACGCAAAGU